This 468-nucleotide ribosomal RNA is filed under the name uncultured bacterium. RNAcentral describes it as "partial 16S ribosomal RNA". It matches the Rfam family "Bacterial small subunit ribosomal RNA", at positions 28 to 523 of the family's 1533-position model. The record is from RNAcentral.
GAUCAACGCUGGCGGCGUGCCUAAUGCAUGCAAGUCGUGCGGCCGAGCUUCGGCUCGGCAGCGGCGAACGGCUGAGGAACACGUGCGUGACCUGCCCCGCGGUGGGGGAUACCGGGUGGAAACACCCGCUAAUACCGCAUCCGCGCGUCCGGACCGCCGGACGCGGAAAGCCUUCGGGCGCCGUGGGAGGGGCGCGCGGCCCAUCAGGUGGUUGGUGGGGGAAUGGCCUACCAAGCCGAAGCCGGGUCGCUGGUCUGAGAGGACGGCCAGCCAGACUGGGACUGAGACACGGCCGAGACACCUACGGGUGGCAGCAGCAAGGAAGCUGCGGCAAUGGGCGCAAGCCUGACCGAGCAACGCCGCGUGGAGGACGACGGCCUUCGGGUUGUAAACUCCUUUUCGUGGGGACGACACGGACGGUACCCACGGAAUCAGCCCCGGCUAACUCUGUGCCAGCAGCCGCGGUAA